AGAGUGAACGCUGGCGGCAGGCCUAACACAUGCAAGUCGAACGGCAGCACAGGGGAGCUUGCUCCCUGGGUGGCGAGUGGCGGACGGGUGAGGAAAACGUCGGAAUCCGCCUAUUUGUGGGGGAUAACGUAGGGAAACUUACGCUAAUACCGCAUACGACCUACGGGUGAAAGCGGAGGACCUUCGGGCUUCGCGCAGAUAGAUGAGCCGACGUCGGAUUAGCUAGUUGGCGGGGUAAAGCCCACAAGGCGACGAUCCGUAGCUGGUCUGGAGAGAUG
This 278-nucleotide ribosomal RNA is filed under the name uncultured soil bacterium. Its description in RNAcentral is "partial 16S ribosomal RNA". It matches the Rfam family "Bacterial small subunit ribosomal RNA", at positions 26 to 302 of the family's 1533-position model. The record is from RNAcentral.